This 119-nucleotide ribosomal RNA is filed under the name Salmo trutta (river trout). Lineage: Eukaryota; Metazoa; Chordata; Actinopteri; Salmoniformes; Salmonidae. The record is from RNAcentral.
GUUUACGGCCAUACCAGCCUGGGUACGCCCGAUCUCGUCUGAUCUCGGAAGCUAAGCAGUGUCGGGCCUGGUUAGUACUUGGAUGGGAGACCGCCUGGGAAUACCAGGUGCUGUAAGCU